CUCUCUGCUUCUGCCUCUUGCCACCAAGGCAUAUCUUCUCUGUCAACAUGGAUGCUCCCUCCCAAACUGAACCUUCAAUGGGAGUGGGUACGUGUCUUCCUCAUAACCACUGGAGAACUACCAUACUAAUCCUUCACGUGGGAUAACUUCCUCAAGCGCAUUGGCGUCUACCUGGAAAAUACAUUCUGGAUGGAAAUACAGUGGAUGUGCAGGCCUAAUGUGACAUCUUUGAAGAGAAGAUCCAGGCUACAAGUGAAGGACUGAGCUAUUCUCAAAUGUACUUACUGCCAGCAAUAUAAGCCAGGCUCCGUCUAUGAUCUAGGACCUGUGUGAAGACUCUAGCGGUGGACACCAUCUUGGCUAGUGCUACGUUCUGUGAUGUCAACCUCACUAAGGUGUCCACCGUGAUGCUAAUGGUGGGCAUGGGCACUGUCAUGGAUGCCAGAGAGUUGAGGAUCCUCAUCACAGGUUCUCCCAGGCCUCUGCUCUGUACAGGACCAUUGAGGAGCGGAUAAACUAUAUGUGGACCACACCUACCUUCCGGAUUUCAUGUGUGAGUGUGAUGAGGAUGCUAGUUUGGCACUGGCGGUGAAGACGCUGGCAUCUCAGCAUUUUAUGCCUGUCUAUAACAAGUACUAAGUCAGUGAGCAGGGUCUUCAGAAACACCAGUCCUCUGGGGAGCCACACAGUAAGUAGCCAGUAUUAGGAUCUGGAUCCAGUACCUCAGAAGGACAGUGUGAAGGAUUGAACCCAGGGCCUUGUGCAUACCAGGCAAGUGUUCUUCCAGUGAACUAUAUCACCAAACUUCUACUCAUCUUUUAUUAUGGAUUUGUAGCUCAAUCAGAGAAAAAGAAAGCUCUCUGGAAAAUAUGCUGCAGCCUUUUUUUUCUGAUCUACCCAAGCGGGGGUCGCAGCUUUCCCUCUGCCUCUACCUUGGUCCGAGUGUACCACCAACUCCCAAGGAGAACUGUUUUCCGCUCUGCAUGCAUCUCAGGUGGGCGGGACCGAGAGCUUAGGUGUUUUCAGCCCUGCCAGUCCUCUGAGUGGACCUGCCCAUUGAGAGUCACUAUCACAGAUCAACAAACUUUCUGAACCUAAGUUCUCCACACACAAGAAUACUGGUCCUCUGUUGAUACCACACACCCUGGGAAGAGACCCGUCUCUCAUCCUCCCAGUGUGUUUCCCUGCCUUCUACAAACUUGGAAGCCUCCGUGGGUAGGGCUGGGUAGAGGGGCUACAAUGAUGACUUCAGCAGAUAAACCGAAAGCCUUCAAGGGCCUAAGCCGCUUCAUCAUAGUCUCCUCUCUCAAGCAUCCAAGGAGAGAAAGACAAAAGAAAAAAAAAUCUUUCCCCACCAGGCUGCUGUGUUUUGUCAAGGGCUCUUAUACACUCUUCAGGAAAGAGAAGGUCUAUGCUGUGAUAGAAACCACCAUGAUUUCCGUGUUGCUUACUCAAAGAGAGGGGUGUCUCCACACACAGGGCCUCCUUCCCAGGCUGCUAGGCUCUGCCUGCCUCGCCACUCUCCAGCCUCUAUGGAGUUGCCCGUUUGAAGCCACUUCUCCUCCUCUGGGCACUGGCGUCUCAGACCUUGGCUGUGACCUCUUUGUCAGUACUGUGCUUAGCACUAGCAUCUUCCCCAUAGCUUUUAAACAUGACUGUACUACCAUCCUGUAUCAAGCUAAUAGAUCAAUAUACUUGUUUAUGGUAUGAUACUUUCCUAAUAAAUCCAAUAUU
This is an RNA transcript of Mus musculus (house mouse), 1734 nucleotides long. It is a transcript of the gene named predicted gene 2176, with no coding region annotated. NCBI's taxonomy places the organism in Eukaryota, Metazoa, Chordata, Mammalia, Rodentia, Muridae. The record is from RefSeq and is marked validated. The transcript has 4 exons.